GUUAAGGCCAGUUCAAAGUUUAGUGUUUCAAUUGAAUGUAUAAAAAUACAUAUUAGAAGAAGACAAAAACAGACCACCUAUAGUCAAGAGUUUUUCUGCCUGGAAAGUGUGAUCAAUUGAGGAUGUGAGAGAAGAGAGAUGUCUUCUCAACUCUUACUGCUUCAUGGAGGUUGAAAACUUUUACAUUUAGCACUGUGAUUGUACUUCAGCCUUCAGGAUUUUACUUAUAA
Molecule: long non-coding RNA, 230 nt
Filed under: Bos taurus (domestic cattle)
Lineage: Eukaryota; Metazoa; Chordata; Mammalia; Artiodactyla; Bovidae
Description: long non-coding RNA NONBTAT012743
Source: RNAcentral